This 395-nucleotide ribosomal RNA is filed under the name uncultured bacterium. Its description in RNAcentral is "bacterial SSU rRNA". It matches the Rfam family "Bacterial small subunit ribosomal RNA", at positions 505 to 898 of the family's 1533-position model. The record is from RNAcentral.
GUGCCAGCAGCCGCGGUAAUACGAAGGGUGCAAGCGUUACUCGGAAUUACUGGGCGUAAAGGGUGCGUAGGUGGUUGUUUAAGUCUGCUGUGAAAGCCCCGGGCUCAACCUGGGAAUGGCAGUGGAUACUGGACAGCUAGAGUGCGGUAGAGGGUAGUGGAAUUCCCGGUGUAGCAGUGAAAUGCGUAGAGAUCGGGAGGAACACCAGUGGCGCAGGCGGCUACCUGGACCAGCACUGACACUGAAGCACGAAAGCGUGGGGAGCAAACAGGAUUAGAUACCCUGGUAGUCCACGCCCUAAACGAUGCGAACUGGACGUUGGGAGCAACUUGGCUCUCAGUGUCGAAGCUAACGCGUUAAGUUCGCCGCCUGGGGAGUACGGUCGCAAGACUGAA